RNAcentral lists this transfer-messenger RNA (120 nucleotides) under marine metagenome. RNAcentral describes it as "transfer-messenger RNA Pelag_sp_IMCC90". It matches the Rfam family "Alphaproteobacteria transfer-messenger RNA", at positions 148 to 270 of the family's 355-position model. From Rfam's summary of the family: Bacterial tmRNA, also known as 10Sa RNA or SsrA, is named for its dual tRNA and mRNA-like properties. Its role is to liberate the mRNA from a stalled ribosome. The record is from RNAcentral.
GGGGGUGAAAUAGGCUCGACAGAUGUCUAAAAGCUUUUCUUUCGUUCAGUAUUGUUCCGCUGUGACGGGCUACAUUUUAAAUGCUAACGAAAGUUACGCUAUUGCUGCUUAAUUAACUUC